This 279-nucleotide ribosomal RNA is filed under the name uncultured bacterium. RNAcentral describes it as "partial 16S ribosomal RNA". It matches the Rfam family "Bacterial small subunit ribosomal RNA", at positions 506 to 784 of the family's 1533-position model. The record is from RNAcentral.
UGCCAGCCGCCGCGGUAAUACGUAGGUUGCAAGCGUUGUCCGGAAUUACUGGGUGUAAAGGGCGUGUAGGCGGAGCUGCAAGUCAGAUGUGAAAUCCCGGGGCUCAACCCCGGAACUGCAUUUGAAACUGUAGCCCUUGAGUAUCGGAGAGGCAAGCGGAAUUCCUAGUGUAGCGGUGAAAUGCGUAGAUAUUAGGAGGAACACCAGUGGCGAAGGCGGCUUGCUGGACGACAACUGACGCUGAGGCGCGAAAGCGUGGGGAGCAAACAGGAUUAGAUA